Molecule: ribosomal RNA, 253 nt
Filed under: uncultured bacterium
Lineage: Bacteria
Description: partial 16S ribosomal RNA
Rfam family: Bacterial small subunit ribosomal RNA
Source: RNAcentral
UACGAAGGGUGCAGGCGUUAAUCGGAAUUACUGGGCGUAAAGCGUGCGCAGGCGGUUUGCUAAGAGAGAUGUGAAAUCCCCGGGCUUAACCUGGGAACUGCGUUUCUAACUGGCAGGCUUGAGUGUGGCAGAGGGGGGUGGAAUUCCACGUGUAGCAGUGAAAUGCGUAGAGAUGUGGAGGAACACCGAUGGCGAAGGCAGCCCCCUGGGCUAACACUGACGCUCAUGCACGAAAGCGUGGGGAGCAAACAGG